GAGAUUCGUUUAUAUCAUAUCAAGACGCGGUAUCUACACGGAAAAAUUCUAAUUUUUCUUCUUACAAAGGUUCAUAAAAAUUCGUUCAACAUUAUAACAUUAUUUGACUUAAAACAUGUGGAGAUAAUUUCAAGUUGAUCGUUACUUUCUUGAUAUAUUAUCUUUGGAUUUUCCUAUAUAUAAUUUCACCAUUAUUCUCUUGAUAUAUACACACAUAAAAAAAAAAAUAAUAAUAACAUACAAAAUGGAGAGAGAAAAAGAAUGACCUUGAAUAGGGCCAACCAAAAAGCGAGGAAUGCCAACAUUAAGACUACGCUGGCCUGACUUAUCCAGAAAACGAAUUAGCUCACCAUUCUUUACAACAUGAGAACUUUUCUCAUGGUGUUUGAUUGCGAGGAAAAACAUGUUUCGGUGUGGCCAUCCACCCAAGAGGCAAAAUCACUCACAGAGAGUUACUACUCUUUGACCGAAAAUGAAAGGAACAAGAGGGCUGUUGAUCCAGCCUCAUUCAUCCAGGCCAAUAUCCAAAAGAUUGAGUAGAAAAUAGCCAAUACUAUGUAGGCUAUCAAAGAGUUGGAGAGGGAUCAUCUCUUGUCGGAACUCAAUCGUGGUCUUCAAGGUUUAUAAGUUUUAUAAAGAAUUCCAAAAAAUGGUUGAGAUUAAGUCUUUGGGAAACAAUGCGUUUGUUAUGGCUAUUGAUACUUGAUUCUCGGUUUCGGCACGUGAAUUUAAAAAAUGUCUUGAAAACUCUAUUUAAUUCACCAAUGUAAUGACAUAUGAUGGUAUUCAAGGUAGACAAUGUUAAUGGAAGUAGUAUUGAGACAAUGUCUGAGUUUUCUAAGGGUUGUUUCCAAAUAUUUAUUCCUAAUUUUCUCUUAAUCUUGUUUAGGUCAUAUCUACUUUCUUUGUAAUCCUAAAUAAAAAUUAAAAACCCCUCUAUAAUUUCUCUUCACUUUUUUUUAGACAAAGCGUAUAAUCAUGAAGAUGUAUAAUAUCAAGCACGAGUACUUCUAUUUGGUGACCAUACCUGUACCGGGGACCUUUUUGAAACGAGAACUCUAUAGGGAUUAUAUGGGGCCGUUCUUGGAGGAAAAUAACUUCGAAAUUUUGAUAGUUUCACUAAAUUCAUUUCAUUCCUAGCACUCUUAUGAUAAGCAUAUAUAUUUUUUUGGUUUUCUACUUUUUAAAGGAUUUCCCCUCUUUACUUUUUUCUAUUAUUUUUUCUAAUCACUUUUCACUCUAGAUUUAUUUUUAAUUUUUUUAUUGAGUUACCCAUGCCGUAGCCAUAUCUAUUAAUUUUGAUCUUGCCAUUUUCUGUACCCGUUUCCGUACUCUUUUCUAGUUCUCGUACUCAGUUUAGUGCUACUUGAAACUCUUCAGUUGACAAUGAAAUGACUAUGCAGGGUCAUCAUCAGUUGGGUUUGUGUCCUUAUUGAUUGGUGAUGGGUGUAAGCUAAGUGUCAUGGCCACAUCAUUCACAUUUUUGGGCAUUCUUUAGGAUGUGCUAUCGCCUCGUUACUGGGAAUUUGAAUAUUUUUCUAUUAAUAAAAGGUUGUAUACUUUCAUGGAACUUAACUUUCAUUUCUGAUUAUUUUCCUCUCUUUUUUUUUCAUGGUAGCUUCGUUGCAGAUUUCAUAAGCGAUAUGUAUAUGUUAUAUACCACUAGCGAGUUAAAAAAUAAAUACCUAAAACACAUGAUUAAUCUACUACAAUAAUGUUUUAGCGUUUUAUAUUUAUUUUAGAAAAUCGAAAGCAUGUUCAGUAUUUAUCCUCUAUAUUGUCAUUCAGUUAUUUCAUCAUUCCAUUAAACAUACCACUUGGGCCUUAUGUAAAUUUAGUCAAUUUUAGUAUCAGAAAAAUCUACUCAUCUUUUGUUUUCGAAAGAGGAAAAAAAAAAUCUAGUUAAUUCAUAACAAAUUUUCCAUACAAAGUGUGAAAAAUGAUAAUCAUGAAUGCUAUUAAUGGUAAAAAAUCCAAUGGAAUAAGAAAUGAAUAAAAUGUAUUUGCUAAUAUAUUCAAGAAAGUUGGAAGUUUAUCAAACGUUCCCAUUAUUAAUUGACUUGAUAAAAACAAACUAACAAAGCCCUCAAGGUCUUAUCUCUAAGAGAUGUCUCGUUGACACUCAUGGGAUCAAAAUCCAUCUCAAUCCUAAAAGACAUAACUUUUUUACCACCUUAUGAAAGAAAUUUAUUAGGCUUGGUUUUGCAUAGGUUAUCAAGUUCACAACCACAGUUGAUUUCUUACAUGAGAUGAUCUAUCUCCAAUUCCUUGAUAGCCUUCAGAGUAUCGGCUAUUUUCCUAUCAAUCUUUUUGAUACUUGUGAGGCUAUUAAGGAGUUGGAGAUGAGCCGUCUGAUGUUGAACUCAACCGUGGUCAUGUACGUGCUAACCUUUGCGUAACCGAGAUUGAAAAAUUGCUAUCAUAUACUGCUAAGAAAGUUAUGUCUUUCAAGAAUGAGAUGGAUCUUGAUUCUAUAAAUGUUGACGAGGCAUAUCUUCGAGAUGCAGCCUUGAGGGCUUCCAAUGUUCCAUCUCCUGGGUGGCGGCGGAAUAGUUCUAACGUGAUUAAAACUGCAACGGUCUAUUAUUAUGAUAAUUGGGGGGUCUCUCAUGAGAUUUGUUUAUAUCAUAUCAAGACGCGGUAUCUACACGGAAAAAUACUAAUUUUUCUUCUUACAAAGGUUCAUAAAAAUUCGUUCAACAUUAUAACAUUAUUUGACUUAAAACAUGUGGAGAUAAUUUCAAGUUGAUCGUUACUUUCUUGAUAUAUUAUCUUUGGAUUUUCCUAUAUAUAAUUUCACCAUUAUUCUCUUGGUAUAUACACACAUAAAAAAAAAAAUAAUAACAUACAAAAU
This 2854-nucleotide long non-coding RNA is filed under the name Capsella rubella. Its description in RNAcentral is "long non-coding RNA (CRUB_LNC004227)". The record is from RNAcentral. Lineage: Eukaryota; Viridiplantae; Streptophyta; Magnoliopsida; Brassicales; Brassicaceae.